RNAcentral lists this ribosomal RNA (463 nucleotides) under uncultured Pseudomonadota bacterium. RNAcentral describes it as "bacterial SSU rRNA". It matches the Rfam family "Bacterial small subunit ribosomal RNA", at positions 224 to 704 of the family's 1533-position model. Lineage: Bacteria; Pseudomonadati; Pseudomonadota. The record is from RNAcentral.
GAUCGGCCCGCGUCUGAUUAGCUAGUUGGUGAGGUAACGGCUCACCAAGGCGACGAUCAGUAGCUGGUCUGAGAGGAUGAUCAGCCACAUUGGGACUGAGACACGGCCCAAACUCCUACGGGAGGCAGCAGUGGGGAAUAUUGGACAAUGGGCGCAAGCCUGAUCCAGCCAUGCCGCGUGAGUGAUGAAGGCCCUAGGGUUGUAAAGCUCUUUUGUGCGGGAAGAUAAUGACGGUACCGCAAGAAUAAGCCCCGGCUAACUUCGUGCCAGCAGCCGCGGUAAUACGAAGGGGGCUAGCGUUGCUCGGAAUCACUGGGCGUAAAGGGUGCGUAGGCGGGUCUUUAAGUCAGGGGUGAAAUCCUGGAGCUCAACUCCAGAACUGCCUUUGAUACUGAGGAUCUUGAGUUCGGGAGAGGUGAGUGGAACUGCGAGUGUAGAGGUGAAAUUCGUAGAUAUUCGCAAG